CCUACGGGAGGCAGCAGUGAGGAAUAUUGGUCAAUGGACGAGAGUCUGAACCAGCCAAGUAGCGUGAAGGAGGACGGCCCUAUGGGUUGUAAACUUCUGUUAUAGGGGAAUAAAAUGGGCCACGUGUGGGAUGGUGUAUGUACCAUAUGAAUAAGGAUCGGCUAACUCCGUGCCAGCAGCCGCGGUAAUACGGAGGAGCCGAGCGUUAUCCGGAUGUAUUGGGGUGCAAGGGAGCGUAGGUGGAUUGUUAAGGCAGUUGUGAAAGUUUGCGGCUCAACCGUAAAAUUGCAGUUGCAACUGGCAGUCUUGCGUACAGUAGAGGUUGGCGGAUUUCGUUGUGUAGCGG
RNAcentral lists this ribosomal RNA (346 nucleotides) under uncultured bacterium. RNAcentral's name for it is "partial 16S ribosomal RNA". It matches the Rfam family "Bacterial small subunit ribosomal RNA", at positions 338 to 681 of the family's 1533-position model. The record is from RNAcentral.